CAGUAUAUGCGGUAAAGUCUGAAGGCCAUUUUCAAAUGGGUGACAUUAGAAUCAAGCCUCUUGAAGUAAAGCAAACAGAGAAGGAGUGAACAAAGCUGGUUUUAGAAUGGUAAAUUGUCUCCUAACCUGGAACUUCUUUCUGCCCGUGCAUACCCACAGCAUAUCACACCUGACCCCAAAGAUUCUGCUUUCCCUAGUGAGGCCAGCCUGCCUUAAAACACUGACUGUCCAAGGAACAUAUUGGCCCCUCAGAUGGAUGAGAAGUUCAGGUGAAGAAACUAGGAAACCACAAAGAGCAGUGAUGUUUGCAGGGCUGAAGCACACUGAGGAUUCUUCCCAUCCAGGGACCAAAGUGUCUGAUACGAUGGAUGGACUGGUUUCCUGGAUUGCCAAAGAUGGUACAGAAUCUUCAUUCUUCCAGAUUUUUAAAUAGCUGACAAAGUCCUGAAGUGAAGAAAGAG
Molecule: long non-coding RNA, 461 nt
Filed under: Felis catus (domestic cat)
Lineage: Eukaryota; Metazoa; Chordata; Mammalia; Carnivora; Felidae
Description: lncRNA (ENSFCAG00000041032.2)
Source: RNAcentral